GAUGAAGAACGUAGCAAAAUGCGAUAAGUAAUGUGAAUUGCAGAAUUCAGUGAAUCAUCGAAUCUUUGAACGCACAUUGCGCCCGCUGGUAUUCCGGCGGGCAUGCCUGUUCGAGCGUCAUUUCAACCCUCAAGCCCCCGGGUUUGGUGUUGGGGAUCGGCUCUGCGCUUCUGGGCGGUGCCGCCCCCGAAAUACAUUGGCGGUCUCGCUGCAGCCUCCAUUGCGUAGUAGCUAACACCUCGCAACUGGAACGCGGCGCGGCCAUGCCGUAAAACCCCAACUUCUGAAUGUUGACCUCGGAUCAGGUAGGAAUACCCGCUGAACUUAAGCAUAUCAAUAAGCGGAGGA
RNAcentral lists this unclassified non-coding RNA (348 nucleotides) under soil metagenome. RNAcentral describes it as "partial contains 5.8S ribosomal RNA, internal transcribed spacer 2, and large subunit ribosomal RNA". The stretch from base 1 to 120 matches the Rfam family "5.8S ribosomal RNA", at positions 35 to 154 of the family's 154-position model. The record is from RNAcentral.